This 32-nucleotide transfer RNA is filed under the name Senticolis triaspis. RNAcentral describes it as "partial tRNA-Ser". The record is from RNAcentral. Lineage: Eukaryota; Metazoa; Chordata; Lepidosauria; Squamata; Colubridae.
GAGGGUGUUAUAAGACUUGCUAACUCUUUAAU